GAUGAACGCUGGCGGCGUGCCUAAUACAUGCAAGUCGAGCGAACAGACGAGGAGCUUGCUCCUCUGACGUUAGCGGCGGACGGGUGAGUAACACGUGGAUAACCUACCUAUAAGACUGGGAUAACUUCGGGAAACCGGAGCUAAUACCGGAUAAUAUAUUGAACCGCGUGGUUCAAUAGUGAAAGACGGUUUUGCUGUCACUUAUAGAUGGAUCCGCGCCGCAUUAGCUAGUUGGUAAGGUAACGGCUUACCAAGGCAACGAUGCGUAGCCGACCUGAGAGGGUGAUCGGCCACACUGGAACUGAGGCACGGUCCAGACUCCUACGGGAGGCAGCAGUAGGGAAUCUUCCGCAAUGGGCGAAAGCUUGACGGAGCAACGCCGCGUGAGUGAUGAAGGUCUUCGGAUCGUAAAACUCUGUUAUUAGGGAAGAACAAAUGUGUAAGUAACUAUGCACGUCUUGACGGUACCUAAUCAGAAAGCCACGGCUAACUACGUG
RNAcentral lists this ribosomal RNA (497 nucleotides) under uncultured bacterium. RNAcentral describes it as "partial 16S ribosomal RNA". It matches the Rfam family "Bacterial small subunit ribosomal RNA", at positions 28 to 507 of the family's 1533-position model. The record is from RNAcentral.